This 800-nucleotide ribosomal RNA is filed under the name uncultured bacterium. RNAcentral's name for it is "bacterial SSU rRNA". It matches the Rfam family "Bacterial small subunit ribosomal RNA", at positions 8 to 801 of the family's 1533-position model. The record is from RNAcentral.
AGAGUUUGAUCCUGGCUCAGAUUGAACGCUGGCGGCAUGCCUUACACAUGCAAGUCGAACGGCAGCACGGGAGCAAUCCUGGUGGCGAGUGGCGAACGGGUGAGUAAUAUAUCGGAACGUGCCCAAUCGUGGGGGAUAACGCAGCGAAAGCUGUGCUAAUACCGCAUACGAUCUACGGAUGAAAGCGGGGGAUUCGCAAGAACCUCGCGCGAAUGGAGCGGCCGAUAUCAGAUUAGCUAGUUGGCGGGGUAAAAGCCCACCAAGGCGACGAUCUGUAGCUGGUCUGAGAGGACGACCAGCCACACUGGAACUGAGACACGGUCCAGACUCCUACGGGAGGCAGCAGUGGGGAAUUUUGGACAAUGGGCGCAAGCCUGAUCCAGCAAUGCCGCGUGCAGGAUGAAGGCCUUCGGGUUGUAAACUGCUUUUGUACGGAACGAAACGGCCCUUUCUAAUAAAGAGGGCUAAUGACGGUACCGUAAGAAUAAGCACCGGCUAACUACGUGCCGGCAGCCGCGGUAAUACGUAGGGUGCGAGCGUUAAUCGGAAUUACUGGGCGUAAAGCGUGCGCAGGCGGUGAUGUAAGACAGAUGUGAAAUCCCCGGGCUCAACCUGGGACCUGCAUUUGUGACUGCAUCGCUAGAGUACGGUAGAGGGGGAUGGAAUUCCGCGUGUAGCAGUGAAAUGCGUAGAUAUGCGGAGGAACACCGAUGGCGAAGGCAAUCCCCUGGACCUGUACUGACGCUCAUGCACGAAAGCGUGGGGAGCAAACAGGAUUAGAUACCCUGGUAGUCCACGCC